This 973-nucleotide ribosomal RNA is filed under the name Bubarida sp. CU261. RNAcentral describes it as "SSU rRNA". It matches the Rfam family "Eukaryotic small subunit ribosomal RNA", at positions 29 to 1001 of the family's 1831-position model. The record is from RNAcentral. Lineage: Eukaryota; Metazoa; Porifera; Demospongiae; Bubarida.
GGCUUGUCUCAAGACUAAGCCAUGCAUGUCCAAGUAUAAACGCCGUUAUACUGUGAAACUGCGAAUGGCUCAUUAAAUCAGUUAUAGUUUAUUUGAUGGUUCCUUGCUACUUGGAUAACCGUAGUAAUUCUAGAGCUAAUACAUGCAGAAAGUCCCGACUUCUGGAAGGGAUGUAUUUAUUAGAUCCAAAACCAGCGCGGGUCUCCUCGUGGGGCUCGGUUGCUCGGUGAUUCAUGAUAACUGCUCGAAUCGCACGGCCUCGUGCCGGCGAUGUUUCAUUCAAAUUUCUGCCCUAUCAACUUUCGAUGGUACGGUAGUGGCCUACCAUGGUUGCAACGGGUGACGGAGAAUUAGGGUUCGAUUCCGGAGAGGGAGCCUGAGAAACGGCUACCACAUCCAAGGAAGGCAGCAGGCGCGCAAAUUACCCAAUCCCGACUCGGGGAGGUAGUGACAAUAAAUAACAAUGCCGGGCUUUGUUAGUCUGGCAAUUGGAAUGAGUACAAUCUAAACCCCUUAACGAGGAACAAUUGGAGGGCAAGUCUGGUGCCAGCAGCCGCGGUAAUUCCAGCUCCAAUAGCGUAUAUUAAAGUUGUUGCAGUUAAAAAGCUCGUAGUUGGAUUUCGGGGCAGCCCGGCUGGUCCGUCGCAAGACGAGUACUGGUCGUGCGCCCUUCCUCUCGGAGGCCCCGACUGCUCUUCGUUGCAGUGGUCGGGGAGUUCGGGACGUUUACUUUGAAAAAAUUAGAGUGUUCAAGGCAGGCCGUCGCCUGAAUACAUUAGCAUGGAAUAAUGGAAGAGGACCUCGGUCCUAUUUUGUUGGUUUCCAGGGCCGAAGUAAUGAUUAAGAGGGACAGUUGGGGGCAUUCGUAUUUAAUUGUCAGAGGUGAAAUUCUCGGAUUUAUGAAAGACGAACAAGUGCGAAAGCAUUUGCCAAGGAUGUUUUCAUUAAUCAAGAACGAAAGUUGGGGGUUCGA